This 1130-nucleotide ribosomal RNA is filed under the name Salmonella enterica subsp. enterica serovar Enteritidis. Its description in RNAcentral is "partial 23S ribosomal RNA". It matches the Rfam family "Bacterial large subunit ribosomal RNA", at positions 1200 to 2312 of the family's 2925-position model. The record is from RNAcentral. Lineage: Bacteria; Pseudomonadati; Pseudomonadota; Gammaproteobacteria; Enterobacterales; Enterobacteriaceae.
CUGCGGCAGCGACACUGUGUGUUGUUGGGUAGGGGAGCGUUCUGUAAGCCUGUGAAGGUGUGUCGUGAGGCAUGCUGGAGGUAUCAGAAGUGCGAAUGCUGACAUAAGUAACGAUAAAGCGGGUGAAAAGCCCGCUCGCCGGAAGACCAAGGGUUCCUGUCCAACGUUAAUCGGGGCAGGGUGAGUCGACCCCUAAGGCGAGGCCGAAAGGCGUAGUCGAUGGGAAACGGGUUAAUAUUCCCGUACUUGGUGUUACUGCGAAGGGGGGACGGAGAAGGCUAUGUUGGCCGGGCGACGGUUGUCCCGGUUUAAGUGUGUAGGUGUGUGUUCCAGGUAAAUCCGGUUCACUUUAACACUGAGGCGUGACGACGAGGCACUACGGUGCUGAAGCAACAAAUGCCCUGCUUCCAGGAAAAGCCUCUAAGCAUCAGGUAACAUCAAAUCGUACCCCAAACCGACACAGGUGGUCAGGUAGAGAAUACCAAGGCGCUUGAGAGAACUCGGGUGAAGGAACUAGGCAAAAUGGUGCCGUAACUUCGGGAGAAGGCACGCUGACACGUAGGUGAAGUGAUUUACUCAUGGAGCUGAAGUCAGUCGAAGAUACCAGCUGGCUGCAACUGUUUAUUAAAAACACAGCACUGUGCAAACACGAAAGUGGACGUAUACGGUGUGACGCCUGCCCGGUGCCGGAAGGUUAAUUGAUGGGGUCAGCGCAAGCGAAGCUCCUGAUCGAAGCCCCGGUAAACGGCGGCCGUAACUAUAACGGUCCUAAGGUAGCGAAAUUCCUUGUCGGGUAAGUUCCGACCUGCACGAAUGGCGUAAUGAUGGCCAGGCUGUCUCCACCCGAGACUCAGUGAAAUUGAACUCGCUGUGAAGAUGCAGUGUACCCGCGGCAAGACGGAAAGACCCCGUGAACCUUUACUAUAGCUUGACACUGAACAUUGAGCCUUGAUGUGUAGGAUAGGUGGGAGGCUUUGAAGUGUGGACGCCAGUCUGCAUGGAGCCGACCUUGAAAUACCACCCUUUAAUGUUUGAUGUUCUAACGUGGACCCGUUACCCGGGUUGCGGACAGUGUCUGGUGGGUAGUUUGACUGGGGCGGUCUCCUCCUAAAGAGUAACGGAGGAGCACG